GCGCCCGCCGGAGGAAACCCAACUCUUGAUUAUUAUGGCCUCUCUGAGUCUUCUGUACUGAAUAAGUCAAAACUUUCAACAACGGAUCUCUUGGUUCUGGCAUCGAUGAAGAACGCAGCGAAAUGCGAUAAGUAAUGUGAAUUGCAGAAUUCAGUGAAUCAUCGAAUCUUUGAACGCACAUUGCGCCCGCCAGUAUUCUGGCGGGCAUGCCUGUUCGAGCGUCAUUUCAACCAUCAAGCCCCAGGCUUGUGUUGGGGACCUGCGGCUGCCGCAGGCCCUGAAAACCAGUGGCGGGCUCGCUGUCACACCGGGCGUAGUAGAUUUUAUCUCGCUCAGGGCGUGCUGCGGGUUCCGGCCGUUAAAAGCCUUUUUUUACCCAAGGUUGACCUCGGAUCAGGUAGGAAUACCCGCUGAACUUAAGCAUAUCAAU
Molecule: ribosomal RNA, 430 nt
Filed under: Thielavia sp. HCX-2014
Lineage: Eukaryota; Fungi; Ascomycota; Sordariomycetes; Coronophorales; Ceratostomataceae
Description: eukaryotic LSU rRNA
Rfam family: 5.8S ribosomal RNA (bases 71-224)
Source: RNAcentral